AUAGCCCGGCGAAAGCCGGAUUAAUACCGCAUACGAUCUACGGAUGAAAGCGGGGGACCUUCGGGCCUCGCGCUAUAGGGUUGGCCGAUGGCUGAUUAGCUAGUUGGUGGGGUAAAGGCCUACCAAGGCGACGAUCAGUAGCUGGUCUGAGAGGACGACCAGCCACACUGGGACUGAGACACGGCCCAGACUCCUACGGGAGGCAGCAGUGGGGAAUUUUGGACAAUGGGCGAAAGCCUGAUCCAGCAAUGCCGCGUGUGUGAAGAAGGCCUUCGGGUUGUAAAGCACUUUUGUCCGGAAAGAAAUCCUUGGCUCUAAUACAGUCGGGGGAUGACGGUACCGGAAGAAUAAGCACCGGCUAACUACGUGCCAGCAGCCGCGGUAAUACGUAGGGUGCGAGCGUUAAUCGGAAUUACUGGGCGUAAAGCGUGCGCAGGCGGUUUGCUAAGACCGAUGUGAAAUCCCCGGGCUCAACCUGGGAACUGCAUUGGUGACUGGCAGGCUAGAGUAUGGCAGAGGGGGGUAGAAUUCCACGUGUAGCAGUGAAAUGCGUAGAGAUGUGGAGGAAUACCGAUGGCGAAGGCAGCCCCCUGGGCCAAUACUGACGCUCAGC
RNAcentral lists this ribosomal RNA (613 nucleotides) under Burkholderia sp. Its description in RNAcentral is "bacterial SSU rRNA". It matches the Rfam family "Bacterial small subunit ribosomal RNA", at positions 143 to 752 of the family's 1533-position model. Lineage: Bacteria; Pseudomonadati; Pseudomonadota; Betaproteobacteria; Burkholderiales; Burkholderiaceae. The record is from RNAcentral.